CAGUCGAACGGAGUUGAAAGGAGCUUGCUUUUUUCACUCAGUGGCGGACGCCUUAGUAACGCGUGAGUAACCUGCCUUUCAGAGGGGGAUAACGUUCUGAAAAGAACGCUAAUACCGCAUAAGAUUGUAGUUUCGCAUGGAGCAGCAAUCAAAGGAGCAAUCCGCUGAAAGAUGGACUCGCGUCCGAUUAGAUAGUUGGCGGGGUAACGGCCCACCAAGUCGACGAUCGGUAGCCGGACUGAGAGGUUGAUCGGCCACAUUGGGACUGAGACACGGCCCAGACUCCUACGGGAGGCAGCAGUGAGGGAUAUUGGGCAAUGGGAGAAACCCUGACCCAGCAACGCCGCGUGAGGGAUGACGGUUUUCGGAUUGUAAACCUCUGUCCUCUGUGAAGAUAGUGACGGUAGCAGAGGAGGAAGCUCCGGCUAACUACGUGCCAGCAGCCGCGGUAAUACGUAGG
This 460-nucleotide ribosomal RNA is filed under the name uncultured bacterium. RNAcentral's name for it is "bacterial SSU rRNA". It matches the Rfam family "Bacterial small subunit ribosomal RNA", at positions 59 to 531 of the family's 1533-position model. The record is from RNAcentral.